CGGGAAGUGGCGCAGCUUGGCAGCGCGCAGCGUUCGGGACGCUGAGGCCGCGGGUUCAAAUCCCGCCUUCCCGA
RNAcentral lists this transfer RNA (74 nucleotides) under Acidimicrobiales bacterium. RNAcentral's name for it is "tRNA-Pro". It matches the Rfam family "tRNA". Rfam says of the family: Transfer RNA (tRNA) molecules are approximately 80 nucleotides in length. Their secondary structure includes four short double-helical elements and three loops (D, anti-codon, and T loops). Lineage: Bacteria; Bacillati; Actinomycetota; Acidimicrobiia; Acidimicrobiales. RNAcentral also lists the same sequence under 2 other names. The record is from RNAcentral.